UUACGGUCACAUCAUAUUGAAACACCAGUUCCCAUACGAUCACUGAAGUUAAGCAAUGUUGAGUAUGGUCAGUACCUAAAUGGGUGACCACUUGGGAAACCA
Molecule: non-coding RNA, 102 nt
Organism: Acanthosepion pharaonis
Lineage: Eukaryota; Metazoa; Mollusca; Cephalopoda; Sepiida; Sepiidae
Source: the annotation of a GenBank genome assembly